GGAUGGGAGGGGGAUCUGACUAUGACAUCUGUCACUCCAUUGAUUGCCAGGGUUUAUUCAACUAAUCUGUAUAGCUAGGAGGGUGUCCCCUUCCUCUCUCAUCACUCCAUGUGCAUCUCUCUCAAAGCUCCACCCAUGGUUAAAGAAGAUGACCUUCCCAGAUAGAGGAGGACUAUUCUUUGAUCAUGGGCAUAGGAGUAGCUAUGCUCCCUUGCUCCUCACCCCCUUCCCAGAAUUGCCAAACAAGCUCCAAGGUCUAAGAAAAAUAGCCUUAGCCUUGACUGACUAAGA
Molecule: small nuclear RNA, 291 nt
Filed under: Castor canadensis (American beaver)
Lineage: Eukaryota; Metazoa; Chordata; Mammalia; Rodentia; Castoridae
Description: 7SK RNA (ENSCCNG00000012491.1)
Rfam family: 7SK RNA
About the family: 7SK was discovered as an abundant small nuclear RNA in the mid-70s but a possible function has only recently been suggested.
Source: RNAcentral